RNAcentral lists this ribosomal RNA (1346 nucleotides) under uncultured bacterium. Its description in RNAcentral is "bacterial SSU rRNA". It matches the Rfam family "Bacterial small subunit ribosomal RNA", at positions 28 to 1381 of the family's 1533-position model. The record is from RNAcentral.
GACGAACGCUGGCGGCGUGCUUAACACAUGCAAGUCGAACGGAAAGGCCCUGCUUUUGUGGGGUGCUCGAGUGGCGAACGGGUGAGUAACACGCGAGUAACCUGCCCUUGACUUUGGGAUAACUUCAGGAAACUGGGGCUAAUACCGGAUAGGAGCUCCUGCUGCAUGGUGGGGGUUGGAAAGUUUCGGCGGUUGGGGAUGGACUCGCGGCUUAUCAGCUUGUUGGUGGGGUAGUGGCUUACCAAGGCUUUGACGGGUAGCCGGCCUGAGAGGGUGACCGGCCACAUUGGGACUGAGAUACGGCCCAGACUCCUACGGGAGGCAGCAGUGGGGAAUAUUGCACAAUGGGCGGAAGCCUGAUGCAGCAACGCCGCGUGCGGGAUGACGGCCUUCGGGUUGUAAACCGCUUUCGCCUGUGACGAAGCGUGAGUGACGGUAAUGGGUAAAGAAGCACCGGCUAACUACGUGCCAGCAGCCGCGGUGAUACGUAGGGUGCGAGCGUUGUCCGGAUUUAUUGGGCGUAAAGGGCUCGUAGGUGGUUGAUCGCGUCGGAAGUGUAAUCUUGGGGCUUAACCCUGAGCGUGCUUUCGAUACGGGUUGACUUGAGGAAGGUAGGGGAGAAUGGAAUUCCUGGUGGAGCGGUGGAAUGCGCAGAUAUCAGGAGGAACACCAGUGGCGAAGGCGGUUCUCUGGGCCUUUCCUGACGCUGAGGAGCGAAAGCGUGGGGAGCGAACAGGCUUAGAUACCCUGGUAGUCCACGCUGUAAACGGUGGGUACUAGGUGUGGGGUCCAUUCCACGGGUUCCGUGCCGUAGCUAACGCUUUAAGUACCCCGCCUGGGGAGUACGGCCGCAAGGCUAAAACUCAAAGGAAUUGACGGGGCCCCGCACAAGCGGCGGAGCAUGCGGAUUAAUUCGAUGCAACGCGUAGAACCUUACCUGGGUUUGACAUGGAUCGGGAGCGCUCAGAGAUGGGUGUGCCUCUUUUGGGGUCGGUUCACAGGUGGUGCAUGCCUGUCGUCAGCUCGUGUCGUGAGAUGUUGGGUUAAGUCCCGCAACGAGCGCAACCCUUGUUCACUGUUGCCAGCACGUUAUGGUGGGGACUCAGUGGAGACCGCCGGGGUCAACUCGGAGGAAGGUGGGGAUGACGUCAAGUCAUCAUGCCCCUUAUGUCCAGGGCUUCACGCAUGCUACAAUGGCUGGUACAGAGAGUGGCGAGCCUGUGAGGGUGAGCGAAUCUCGGAAAGCCGGUCUCAGUUCGGAUUGGGGUCUGCAACUCGACCUCAUGAAGUCGGAGUCGCUAGUAAUCGCAGAUCAGCAACGCUGCGGUGAAUACGUUCCCGGGGCU